RNAcentral lists this long non-coding RNA (3057 nucleotides) under Arachis ipaensis. RNAcentral's name for it is "long non-coding RNA (AIPA_LNC000445)". The record is from RNAcentral. Lineage: Eukaryota; Viridiplantae; Streptophyta; Magnoliopsida; Fabales; Fabaceae.
UAAAUGAGUAAUAGCUCAAAUGGCAUAGACUCCCCAUACUCAAUUAAGAGGUUGCGGGUUUGAGUCUCCUAUAUAGUAGCCAAUGAGUUAUAACUCAAAUGGCAUAGACUCCACAUACUCAAUUAAGAGGUUGCGGGUUUGAGUCUCCUAUCUUUCAAAUGAAAGAGGUAAUAAUAACAAGUCUUUCAAUGGCGAAUUGAAAUGGACUAUAGGGGGUGGACAAGAAGAAUUAACGACAUAUAUCUGGGUCGGAAAAGGAAGAAUGGACUGAUAUAGUUUUUUGCCUUUGUUCGUUACACUACAAAAGGUGGCGCUCUAAAGGCAAUUGCAGAGAAUCCGGGAAAAGGUAAUUACAGUUGGAGAAGCGAAGUAUAGAAGACAGCCUCAUUUGAGGGAAGGGCAGGUGCGGUUGGACCUCACCAGUCAGUAUGGGGGUGGACCAGAGGUUUCCCAUCAUGGAAAAGGUGUUGAUGCUGGGUUGGUCAUUGAGGAACAGCCAGUGCGAGACCAUAAGGUUACCGCAAAGGAGGGUGGAAUUCUGAAAAGAAUUGAUGUGUCGGUGGUUGAAGCAAAUUUGGAUUGGUUAGUGAGGAGUUUAGUGGGACAAACCGUGCACUCUGUGGACCUGAAAUCAGUGAAAAACGUGGUGUGCAAGAAUAUACCACACAUUGUGGACGUUAAGGAGAUUGGGGAGUCCAAGGUACUGAUAAUCUUUGAUACUGUUCAGCAUGCUGAGGGAGCGUUUACUUUCAAAAUGGAUACUCUGUUAAAAUUAUUCCAUAGGGUCCGGCAUUGGGAGGAGUCGAAACGAUGUAACACUCGAAGAACGUGGCUGGCGUGCUACGGAAUCCCUUUACAUGCAUGGUCGCCGGUAAUGUUUCAAAAAUUAGGAGAACAGUGGGUCGACGUAAUUCAGUGUGAUGUAACGACAGGGGAGGGAGCAUCAUUUACAGCAGGUAGGGUUCAAGUUGAGACAGAGGUGUUUGAUGAAAUUCGGAAAUGGGUACAAAUUGCUGUAGGGAAUUCUGAGUAUAGAGUGUUUGUGAAGGAGGUGGACCUCCAGAUAAGUGCAGCAGCCGGUGUGGAGAUGAGCCGAACUGACUGUGCAGAGAAGAUAGUUUCUGACGGUGCGGGUACGGUGUUGGCAAAGGGGGCGGGGAGUUGGGAUCCGGCGGCGAAACUGGUGGCUGGGAGUCCUAUGGUGGCUGUGCAGGGGGAGGACAGAAUAGUAAUUAAUGAUAUCUUUUUGAAUGAUGUUAACAUUGAUUUUUUGAAAUUCAAAAAGGAUAUGCAUGUACCAGAUUCAGGUAAUGGUACCAAGGACGAUAGGAUAGAUGAUUCUCAGGGAUUUGAUGAGGUUAAUGAGGGAGAAUCGGAAAAAAACGGUCACGCAGAUAUGUGGCAUUGGGGGUGGAGGAGCUCAUGUCACGUGUGAUAGACCAUAUGGUAAUGUUUAUGUGGGCCACCCGGUAUGCUACACGGUUGAGAGGUGUGAGGAGUUAGUGUUGGGCUUGCCUUCAAUUGGCCCAAUAUUAAAUCAAGGUGUAGGUGGGCUGCAGAAUGAAGGGAGCCUAGUGAGUGGGUUAGAUGUGGGGCUGGGCCAAGCCUGUGUAAUAGCUGCAAGGAAUCAUGGACUGCUCUCCAUGGAUGGCACGGGCGGGUCGGUUGGGCGAAUGACCUGGAUUGCUCCACAGGAACUGAGUGCAGUGCCGCCAUUGGAAGGUAGGAGCGGCGAACUAGGGUUCUUCAACGAGGCGGAUGUUGCAACGGGAGGGCUGGUGGCUGCAACUGAGGAAUUGGCGCUGGAUCCGAAGGAAGAAGCCCCGAUCGCGCAUGGAGAAGUUGAGCGCGAGUGUGGAAAGGUCGCGACGGGGGAGAAGGACGCUGGAGUGGCAGUCAGAAGGUAGGGCCAGGUGGCGCAGGAAGCGGGAGAGGCGGACAGACUACACUCCGCUAGCUCCCAAGUGGGCAUGAGAAGGCAAACUGCGAAGGGAAGCACCGCGAUAGCAAGUUCGUUUUAAAAAAAUAGCUUAAAUAAUAAAUUACUAUAUUAAAAGUAACUUAUAAAUAAGUUAUUUUGUAUUUGGAUUUUUAGUUCUAAAAGUACUUAUUUUAUAAAAAUGUGAUAAAUAAUAGUACUAUGAGAGAAGUCAUUUGUUUUAACUUCUCUAUAAACUCCUAAAUAGCUUCAUACAAAACUGCAAUUUUCAGAAAAUUGCACGUGACAUUAAUACUACUACUCUUCGUAAGUCAAAAGCUCAAAAAAAUUGCUUUUGAAACUUCCUAAACGGAUUUGGAUCCUCUAAAUUUUGAAUUUCACUCUUAAAUAGUUUCUUUCUUAUAUUUUCUCUUCGUUCUACCUAUGAAAUAAACAUAAAAAAUCACAAUUUAUCAUCUAAAAUAAAAGUUUAAAAUUUAGAGGAUUCAAAUCCUUUCCGAACAUGUCCUUAAUCUAAAAAACGUAUUUAAAUGCAUAAAUCUAAUUAGAUCACGGCAUAAAUUGUGAAUACCACUCUAGCUGAAAAAAUCAAACUAUAUAUAUAAGAAUAAUUUAGCUGAAAAAAUUGUGAAUACCACUUUUAAGUCUUAACGCAUAAAUUGAAAGAUAAAAGGGGUCGAUAUCUAUCAAUCUAUGCGUCUUAGAUUAAUCCAAAAAUAAAUUGAAAAAAAAAAACACACGUCUUAAGUUUUCUUUUUUUCAAAAAUCUGAUUUUGAAUUCAAAUUCUCGAGCUAAAACAAAAGCUAACAUAUCAAGAUGAUCAAAAGAAACAAAAGGAAAAACUGAAAAACCUCGAAACCCCACGAUUCUUUUAUCAAAAGUUCGAUUAUUUGAUGCUACCCCAGAUUAUGAAACCGUAAGGAAUGGACAUUGAAACGACGAAGAAGAAGAAAAGACUCGAACUUUGGAAUGCCCAUAAUGCAAAAAACAACACAAUGCAGAAAGAGUGAAGAAGCAAGCACCUGGUUCAACUCAGCUCGCUAACUGUGACUCGUUUGACUCGGCGUGCUUUUAGAUAGAAAACAGAAACCACUCACUGAGUCAGUGUCUAUCUCUG